Molecule: ribosomal RNA, 893 nt
Filed under: Phanerochaete cystidiata
Lineage: Eukaryota; Fungi; Basidiomycota; Agaricomycetes; Polyporales; Phanerochaetaceae
Description: eukaryotic LSU rRNA
Rfam family: Eukaryotic large subunit ribosomal RNA
Source: RNAcentral
UAGCAACUAGCGAGUGAAGCGGAGAAAAGCUCAAAUUUAAAAUCUGAUAGUCUUUGGCUGUCCGAGUUGUAGUCUGGAGAAGCGUUUUCCGUGCUGGACCGUGUACAAGUCUCCUGGAACGGAGCGUCAUAGAGGGUGAGAAUCCCGUCUUUGACACGGACUACCAGUGCUUUUGUGAUGCGCUCUCAAAGAGUCGAGUUGUUUGGGAAUGCAGCUCAAAAUGGGUGGUAAACUCCAUCUAAAGCUAAAUAUUGGCGAGAGACCGAUAGCGAACAAGUACCGUGAGGGAAAGAUGAAAAGCACUUUGGAAAGAGAGUUAAACAGUACGUGAAAUUGCUGAAAGGGAAACGCUUGAAGUCAGUCGCGUUUGCUAGGACUCAGCCUUGCCUCGGCUAAGGUGCAUUUCCUAGUAGACGGGCCAGCAUCACUUUUGGCUGCGGGAAAAAGGUCAGAGGAAUGUGGCACCUCCGGGUGUGUUAUAGCCUCUGGCUGUAUACCGUGGCUGGGAGUGAGGAACUCAGCGCGCCUUCAUGGCGGGGCUUCGGCCACCUUCGUGCUUAGGAUGCUGGCGUAAUGGCUUUAAACGACCCGUCUUGAAACACGGACCAAGGAGUCUAACAUGCCUGCGAGUGUUUGGGUGGAAAACCCGAGCGCGUAAUGAAAGUGAAAGUUGGGACCUCUGUCGUGGAGGGCACCGACGCCCGGACCAGACCUUCUGUGACGGAUCCGCGGUAGAGCAUGUAUGUUGGGACCCGAAAGAUGGUGAACUAUGCCUGAAUAGGGUGAAGCCAGAGGAAACUCUGGUGGAGGCUCGUAGCGAUUCUGACGUGCAAAUCGAUCGUCAAAUUUGGGUAUAGGGGCGAAAGACUAAUCGAACCAUCUAGUAGCUGGUC